ACAUUUCCCCUUGAAUCCAAGGUCUGCAAUUAUUAAAUGAAGGGCACACAAACAGUCUGAAGCCGCCCUCCACCUCCACUUGGAUGUACUGGCCUACAUAGAGCAUACAUACAUUCUCAAAGAUAUACAUAUGAAUUCGGAAUAGCAUUCACAUCUUCAUUCUUCAGCUAAGUCAUCUGUAACAGAAUCCAUUAUGUAGUUUGGUUCAAGAUAGUUGACUCAUCAAGAAAGUUGCAAGUAAUUUAAAUUGAGUGUGUACCUUGUGGAGUUUGCUGAUCAACAUUGAAGGUGCAUUGUUCUGCUUCUUGAGGAUAGCUUGCCGCAACAACAUAAUGGAUGGAUGGAAUUAGAUAGUAAUGCA
RNAcentral lists this long non-coding RNA (361 nucleotides) under Triticum aestivum (bread wheat). RNAcentral's name for it is "long non-coding RNA (TAES_LNC021217)". The record is from RNAcentral. Lineage: Eukaryota; Viridiplantae; Streptophyta; Magnoliopsida; Poales; Poaceae.